RNAcentral lists this long non-coding RNA (1129 nucleotides) under Homo sapiens (human). RNAcentral's name for it is "non-protein coding lnc-CHRNE-3:1". Lineage: Eukaryota; Metazoa; Chordata; Mammalia; Primates; Hominidae. The record is from RNAcentral.
GCUUCUGAUACAGAAAAAGGAACUAAGACCCCUCCCUAUCACCCUGUGUUCCUUACCCCUCCAACCCCCAACUAGAUUCCAAUAGGAGAGCCCACAGGCUCUUCUCUCAAGGUCCCCAAACCUCCCACCCUCAGAGGCUGUGGCCAGAGUACCUAAUGCUCACUGUGCUCAGCAGGUCCUGACCACGACCCUGACUCAGAGCUGAGGGCCUCCUUCCUGCCACUAGAGGCCCCACACGGCCAUUAGGCCGUACCCACAGGAAGAGGCUGGAGCGGAAAGUGGGAAGCGAACCUCGAAGGAAGAGCAGCCAGGCCCGGGGCACUGUCACUUGCCGUCCCCUCUGCAGCUCCAGACAUUUUCAGCAUUGUCCUGCAGCCAGCGACGAAAAUAGAGGAUCUCACAGUUGCAUAACCAGGGGUUCCCGUGGAGAAAAGCAAAAGGCAGGAGGUGGGACCCAAAAAAGCCCUUUGGUAUUGUAUACAGCGAGUUCUCUUGGAGGAGAAGGGUGUCGAGAUUCUCCAGCCCAUUCAGGAGCCCAGCGGGGAGCUCAGUCAAGUUGUUGUUAGCCAGACUGAGCUUCUCCAGCUUGGGUGUGGGCGUCAGGAGCCCUGGGGGCAGGGUCUUCAGCUCAUUGCCUUUCAGGUAGAGCUCUUGGAGUUCGCCAAGACCACGCAGGGCACCAAGAGGCAGCGAGGUCAGCCGGUUGAAGGAGACGUCCAGGACGGUGAGAGCAGGCAGUGUCUGCCCUAGCAAGGGCAGGCUUUGCAGCUGAUUGUGGGAUAGAUCCAGGGUCCCCAGCACUGGCAGCGUCCCAUCGACCUGGAGCUUGGUGAGCUCGCACCUAUCUAGGUUCAGCUGAGUGAGGCGAGUGUAAGGCAUCAGGGUUGCCAGGGAGAAGGUGUACAGGAGGUUCUCACUCAGGUGGAGGAUGGUUGUGUCUUUCGGCAGGUCUGGAGGCAGCGCUGUCAGAUUCCUCUUGUCACAGUUCACUUCUAGGUGGCUGGCCACUUUGGAGACCUCACAGAUGGGGUGGGGGUGUAAGGGGCUUGGCAGCAGGAGCAGCAAGAGGAGGAGAGGCAUGAGGACCUGUGGGCAAGGGAGCCUUGAGUGGAUCCCCCUGCAUCCCCUG